Molecule: ribosomal RNA, 492 nt
Filed under: uncultured bacterium
Lineage: Bacteria
Description: partial 16S ribosomal RNA
Rfam family: Bacterial small subunit ribosomal RNA
Source: RNAcentral
AGUGAACGCUGGCGGUAGGCCUAACACAUGCAAGUCGAACGGCAGCACAGUAAGAGCUUGCUCUUACGGGUGGCAAGGGGCGGACGGGUGAGGAAUACAUCGGAAUCUACUUUUUCGUGGGGGAUAACGUAGGGAAACUUACGCUAAUACCGCAUACGACCUACGGGUGAAAGCAGGGGAUCUUCGGACCUUUCGCGAUUGAAUGAGCCGAUGUCGGAUUAGCUAGUUGGCGGGGUAAAGGCCCACCAAGGCGACGAUCCGUAGCUGGUCUGAGAGGAUGAUCAGCCACACUGGAACUGAGACACGGUCCAGACUCCUACGGGAGGCAGCAGUGGGGAAUAUUGGACAAUGGGCGCAAGCCUGAUCCAGCCAUACCGCGUGGGUGAAGAAGGCCUUCGGGUUGUAAAGCCCUUUUGUUGGGAAAGAAAAGCAGCAGGUUAAUACCCCGCUGUUCUGACGGUACCCAAAGAAUAAGCACCGGCUAACUUCGUG